Molecule: ribosomal RNA, 484 nt
Filed under: uncultured bacterium
Lineage: Bacteria
Description: partial 16S ribosomal RNA
Rfam family: Bacterial small subunit ribosomal RNA
Source: RNAcentral
AUUGAACGCUGGCGGCAGGCCUAGCACAUGCAAGUCGAGCGGAUGAAGGGAGCUUGCUCCUGGAUUCAGCGGCGGACGGGUGAGUAAUGCCUAGGAAUCUGCCUGGUAGUGGGGGAUAACGUCCGGAAACGGGCGCUAAUACCGCAUACGUCCUGAGGGAGAAAGUGGGGGAUCUUCGGACCUCACGCUAUCAGAUGAGCCUAGGUCGGAUUAGCUAGUUGGUGGGGUAAGGGCCUACCAAGGCGACGAUCCGUAACUGGUCUGAGAGGAUGAUCAGUCACACUGGAACUGAGACACGGUCCAGACUCCUACGGGAGGCAGCAGUGGGGAAUAUUGGACAAUGGGCGAAAGCCUGAUCCAGCCAUGCCGCGUGUGUGAAGAAGGUCUUCGGAUUGUAAAGCACUUUAAGUUGGGAGGAAGGGCAGUAAGUUAAUACCUUGCUGUUUUGACGUUACCAACAGAAUAAGCACCGGCUAACUUCGUG